AUGACAGAGACGAGGAGUGGAAGAGGGAUAUUAGGUGGAUGGCCUCAAGAUCCUAAGGAGCAGACCUGGAGCAAGCAACUUUCAGGUCCCAGGAUGGGCAGGAGCACACCAACCACCUGCGUGACAGAGAAACCAUACACAACUUUGGAGAAGCCCCCGGCACAUGGCUUCCUUACUCCCUGAGCUGCAAACAGGCUGGGAUUAGCAGAGACGAGAGGAGGAUUCAGGUUAGUGCAAGCACAGGGAGGAAGUACCCACCCCAAUCCCUUCUGAGAUGGCCCAAGCUGUGCCCUCAGUCCCCUGCCACAGUGCAUGGACAGGGAAGGAUACUGUAUCUGUGCACUUCAGCCUCUGAUAUUUACUCAACUCCUCUCCGUGACCCCAACACACACACCCUACUGUGUCCGGAAUUGGUGGAUUCUUGGUCUCACUGACUUCAAGAAUGAAGCCGCUGACCCUUGCGGUGAGUGUUACAGCUCUUAAGGUGGCGCGUCUGGAGUUUGUUCCUUCUGAUGUUCGAAUGUGUUCGGAGUUUCUUCCUUCUGGUGGGUUCGUGGUCUCGCUGGCUCGGGAGUGAAGCUGCAGACCUUCGCGGUGAGUGUUACAGCUCUUAAGGCGGCGCGUCUGGAGUUGUUCGUUCCUCCC
Molecule: long non-coding RNA, 645 nt
Filed under: Homo sapiens (human)
Lineage: Eukaryota; Metazoa; Chordata; Mammalia; Primates; Hominidae
Description: HSALNT0086355
Source: RNAcentral